GACGAACGCUGGCGGCGUGCUUAACACAUGCAAGUCGAACGGAAAGGCCCUGCUUUUGUGGGGUGCUCGAGUGGCGAACGGGUGAGUAACACGUGAGUAACCUGCCCUUGACUUUGGGAUAAAUUCAGGAAACUGGGGCUAAUACCGGAUAGGAGCUCCUGCUGCAAGGUGGGGGUUGGAAAGUUUCGGCGGUUGGGGAUGGACUCGCGGCUUAUCAGCUUGUUGGUGGGGUAGUGGCUUACCAAGGCUUUGACGGGUAGCCGGCCUGAGAGGGUGACCGGCCACAUUGGGACUGAGAUACGGCCCAGACUCCUACGGGAGGCAGCAGUGGGGAAUAUUGCACAAUGGGCGGAAGCCUGAUGCAGCAACGCCGCGUGCGGGAUGACGGCCUUCGGGUUGUAAACCGCUUUCGCCUGUGACGAAGCGUGAGUGACGGUAAUGGGUAAAGAAGCACCGGCUAACUACGUG
Molecule: ribosomal RNA, 468 nt
Filed under: uncultured bacterium
Lineage: Bacteria
Description: partial 16S ribosomal RNA
Rfam family: Bacterial small subunit ribosomal RNA
Source: RNAcentral